RNAcentral lists this ribosomal RNA (547 nucleotides) under uncultured bacterium. RNAcentral's name for it is "bacterial SSU rRNA". It matches the Rfam family "Bacterial small subunit ribosomal RNA", at positions 162 to 697 of the family's 1533-position model. The record is from RNAcentral.
GAUAAUACCGAAUACGAUCGCAUGACUAUGGUUAUGUGAUGAAAGGAGCUACGGCUCCGCCUUGAGAUGGGCCCGCGUCCCAUUAGCUAGUUGGCGGUGUAACUGACCACCAAGGCGAAAGAUGGGUAGCCGGCCUGAGAGGGUGAACGGCCACACUGGGACUGAGAUACGGCCCAGACUCCUACGGGAGGCAGCAGCUAAGAAUAUUCCGCAAUGGGCGCAAGUCUGACGGAGCGACGCCGCGUGGAUGACGAAGGCCGAAAGGUUGUAAAAUCCUUUUGCAGACGAAGAAUAAGACUGGUAGGGAAUGACCAGUUGAUGACGUUAGUCUGCGAAUAAGCCCCGGCUAAUUACGUGCCAGCAGCCGCGGUAACACGUAAGGGGCAAGCGUUGUUCGGAAUUAUUGGGCGUAAAGGGCGCGUAGGCGGCCAUGUAAGUCUGAUGUGAAAACCCCGGGCUCAACCCGGGACGUGCAUUGGAACCUGCAAGGCUUGAGUCACGGAGGGGAAAUCGGAAUUCCUAGUGUAGGGGUGAAAUCUGUAGAUAU